AGAUUGAACGCUGGCGGCAGGCCUAACACAUGCAAGUCGAGCGGCAGCACGGGUACUUGUACCUGGUGGCGAGCGGCGGACGGGUGAGUAAUGCCUAGGAAUCUGCCUGAUAGUGGGGGAUAACGUUCGGAAACGGACGCUAAUACCGCAUACGUCCUACGGGAGAAAGUGGGGGAUCUUCGGACCUCACGCUAUCAGAUGAGCCUAGGUCGGAUUAGCUAGUUGGUAGGGUAAAGGCCUACCAAGGCUACGAUCCGUAACUGGUCUGAGAGGAUGAUCAGUCACACUGGAACUGAGACACGGUCCAGACUCCUACGGGAGGCAGCAGUGGGAAUAUUGGACAAUGGGCGAAAAGCCUGAUCCAGCCAAUGCCGCGUGUGUGAAGAAGGUCUUCGGAUUGUAAAAGCACUUAAGUUGGAGAAGGCAUUAACCUAAUACGUUAGUGUUUUGACGUUACGACAGAAUAAAGCACGGCUAACUCUGUGCCAGCAGCCGCGGUAA
Molecule: ribosomal RNA, 501 nt
Filed under: uncultured soil bacterium
Lineage: Bacteria
Description: bacterial SSU rRNA
Rfam family: Bacterial small subunit ribosomal RNA
Source: RNAcentral